This 908-nucleotide ribosomal RNA is filed under the name uncultured bacterium. RNAcentral's name for it is "bacterial SSU rRNA". It matches the Rfam family "Bacterial small subunit ribosomal RNA", at positions 8 to 916 of the family's 1533-position model. The record is from RNAcentral.
AGAGUUUGAUCAUGGCUCAGGAUGAACGCUAGCGGCAGGCCUAACACAUGCAAGUCGAACGGCAGCACGAACUUCGGUUUGGUGGCGAGUGGCGCACGGGUGCGUAACGCGUAUGCAACCUACCCUUUACAGGGGGAUAGCCCAGAGAAAUUUGGAUUAAUACCCCAUCGCAUAUGGAAUCGGCAUCGGUUUCAUAUUAAAGAUUCAUCGGUAAGGGAUGGGCAUGCGUUCUAUUAGCUAGUAGGUACGGUAACGGCGUACCUAGGCUACGAUAGAUAGGGGCCCUGAGAGGGGGAUCCCCCACACUGGUACUGAGACACGGACCAGACUCCUACGGGAGGCAGCAGUGAGGAAUAUUGGACAAUGGGCGAGAGCCUGAUCCAGCCAUGCCGCGUGCAGGAAGACGGCCCUAUGGGUUGUAAACUGCUUUUAUACAGGAAGAAACACCCCCUCGUGAGGGGGCUUGACGGUACUGUAAGAAUAAGGAUCGGCUAACUCCGUGCCAGCAGCCGCGGUAAUACGGAGGAUCCAAGCGUUAUCCGGAAUCAUUGGGUUUAAAGGGUCCGUAGGUGGAUGAUUAAGUCAGAGGUGAAAUCCUGCAGCUCAACUGUAGAAUUGCCUUUGAUACUGGUUAUCUUGAGUUAUUAUGAAGUAGUUAGAAUAUGUAGUGUAGCGGUGAAAUGCAUAGAUAUUACAUAGAAUACCAAUUGCGAAGGCAGAUUACUAAUAAUCAACUGACACUGAUGGACGAAAGCGUGGGGAGCGAACAGGAUUAGAUACCCUGGUAGUCCACGCCGUAAACGAUGGUCACUAGCUGUUCGGAUUUCGGUCUGAGUGGCUAAGCGAAAGUGAUAAGUGACCCACCUGGGGAGUACGUUCGCAAGAAUGAAACUCAAAGGAAUUGACGG